GACAGAGGGUGCAAACGUUGUUCGGAAUUACUGGGCGUAAAGCGCGUGUAGGCUGCUCGGAAAGUCGGAUGUGAAAGCCCCGGGCUCAACCCGGGAAGUGCACUCGAUACUGCGAAGCUUGAGUACUGGAGAGGUUGGUGGAAUUCUCGGUGUAGAGGUGAAAUUCGUAGAUAUCGAGAGGAACACCGGUGGCGAAGGCGGCCAACUGGACAGAUACUGACGCUGAGACACGAAAGCGUGGGGAGCAAACAGG
Molecule: ribosomal RNA, 253 nt
Filed under: uncultured bacterium
Lineage: Bacteria
Description: partial 16S ribosomal RNA
Rfam family: Bacterial small subunit ribosomal RNA
Source: RNAcentral